RNAcentral lists this ribosomal RNA (374 nucleotides) under uncultured organism. RNAcentral's name for it is "partial 16S ribosomal RNA". It matches the Rfam family "Bacterial small subunit ribosomal RNA", at positions 527 to 896 of the family's 1533-position model. The record is from RNAcentral.
GUAGGUGGCAAGCGUUGUCCGGAAUUAUUGGGCGUAAGGCGCGCGCAGGCGGUUCUUUAAGUCUGAUGUGAAAGCCCACGGCUCAACCGUGGAGGGUCAUUGGAAACUGGAGAACUUGAGUACAGAAGAGGAAAGCGGAAUUCCACGUGUAGCGGUGAAAUGCGUAGAGAUGUGGAGGAACACCAGUGGCGAAGGCGGCUUUCUGGUCUGUAACUGACGCUGAGGCGCGAAAGCGUGGGGAGCAAACAGGGAUUAGAUACCCUGGUAGUCCACGCCGUAAACGAUGAGUGCUAAGUGUUAGGGGGUUUCCGCCCCCUUAGUGCUGCAGCUAACGCAUUAAGCACUCCGCCCCGGGGAGUACGGCCGCAAGGCUG